GACUGCGAAAAUCUCGGCUACGGCGAAAAGAGGAGCUUCUUCUGCCUUCCAAUCUCUCUCUCUCUCUCUCCUCUCUCUGUCUCUCUGUCUUUCUUCUUAGCGUACAGCUACCGGACCACCAAAGAGGGUUUGAAACUUUGGAGCGCGAGAUUUCAUUUUUUAGCCCAUGCCACUUUCCACCAAGUUAGGACUACGCUUCAACAGUGGGGACACGGAAAAUGGAGUUCGCUCUUAAAUUAACUCCCGCGACUGCGCUGAACGAAGCGGCCGCGAUGUGCCCCUCGCACAUACACUGGAGUUUGGUGCAACUGCAGCUGCAGCUGCAGCAGGACGACGGGCAGCGAGACGAGAGGAGCUUCGUUUAACGACCGCUCGAAUGGGCUUUCGAAGAAGAUAGGCAACAUGAUCUUCGGGAGAUACCGUCUUAAACGUGACGUGGGCAAGGAGGGAACUACUUGUAGGCAGUGGGAUUAUAUCUUCCCGUCGCGCAGCCAGGAUACAGGACGAGCCUGGGGACCCUAUGUACCACCCAUGCGUGGGGUUAACCAACAUUUACAUAGUCGCAAACGUAGACUGAAUAACAAUGCUCGAAACGGAGCCGAAGCCAGCUGUGCCGUUCCACCAAGCGGACGUAUUCGCGCUAAGACGCAGGAUUUGCAACGUGUCCACGAGGAAUGGAUAAUUUCACUCCUACCUCGGACAGUGAGUGAGAGAAACACGAAAAGCUGUGGCCCAAUCCAGUUAUUUGAAUCACCCUGCACAAGAAUGCAAUUUUAAUCAAUGAAUUAUAGCAA
Long non-coding RNA from Harpegnathos saltator (Jerdon's jumping ant), 794 nucleotides. RefSeq lists it as uncharacterized. The record is from RefSeq and is a predicted model, not a curated record. NCBI's taxonomy places the organism in Eukaryota, Metazoa, Arthropoda, Insecta, Hymenoptera, Formicidae. The transcript has 3 exons.